Long non-coding RNA from Suricata suricatta (meerkat), 606 nucleotides. RefSeq lists it as uncharacterized. The transcript is spliced from 3 exons. The record is from RefSeq and is a predicted model, not a curated record. NCBI's taxonomy places the organism in Eukaryota, Metazoa, Chordata, Mammalia, Carnivora, Herpestidae.
AAGGAAUCAUAGAACAUGUGGAUUCUUGUGACUGAUUUCUUUCACUUUCCAAGGCUCAUUCAAGCUACAGGAGAGGUAGAGUUGCAGGGCCAAACGGAUACAUCUCUACGUUUUGGUACCUGCUGCUGAAUUUGUCUCCAGCUACUCUGUCCUUCUCAUCCCUGGUGAGGAGGCCUGUCCCCCUCUAUCUGAGAGGCUGUAUGCUGGGAGGAGGGUGUCCUGCCUGCCUCCCAGAGACAACCACCGAUCACUUCAGAAUCCAACGCAGGACGAGACCCAGAACACGGCCGCCCCUCCUGCCAGGCCCUGGGUGGCACACGGGCCACCGGUGGCUGAUGGACAACUUCAACCUGUUCUCCCAUCAUCAACCCUACGGGGGGGGCCUAUGUGUCCCCAUUCUGCAGAUGAGGAAACUGAGGCUGGGGGAGGGAAGGGACUCGUCCAAGGUCACUUGUCCAAGUCCUUGCUCUUGCUGCGGCCGCCCUCUUUCCCCGAAGAAUGACCUCUGCUCAGGGAAAGAGCCAGCCUGGAGCCAGGUGGGGGCUGGGGGCCUCCUGGGUCCCCUGACCCAACUGGUUCUGCCCGAGUAAAGGCCUGCUCCUUGCA